UUACGAUGGAUGAGUUGACCUUGAAUGAACGUCUCUACGAUUUGCGGAAACCCUUUAAACUCGCAUUUUGCGCGCUGAAAGAGCAGAAAGAGGCCUGGGAAGAUUGUAUGGAAAAAGCCCGACCUCAUCUGGUAGCAAUCGUCACACUGCGGGAAAUACAGGCAAACUGUUGGGCGGCGAAACUUACGGGCACCGAUCUCUUGGCAAAAUACCCAGAUGUCCGAGUACGGAUCGUCCGUAGAGUGGAAAGCGAGCUGUUCCAGGAGAAGGAAAAGUUGGAAUCAAUACUAAAAACCUUGAAGAAGUCUCAGAACGUUUGUAGCAGUGCUUGCCAGCAAGCAGUUGAAGCUUACGACCAUCUUGCGAAAAGUCGAAGUAUUGAAGAUGUUUGUUACAGAAGUGAAACGUGUCCGUCGGUGGCUGAUAUGCUGGAAUGGAUGACAUGUACAGAACAGCACUUUAGUAGCCAUGUUCAUGCAAGAGAACUCUUGCUAGAAGAAGCAAAUUUUGGGGAUGACUUCAAGGCUGGUGCCUUUGUAAAAGAGUGGAAAGAUGACUCAGCUUUGAUUGAAUCAAUGAAUGAUGUCUUGGCAACAGUGAAGUUUGUAAUGGACAUGGUGUAGAUGUGCUAUACAAAUUGGCCUUCGGCAUUGUGCAGCAUCUCGGGUAUCAAGGAAGUGCAGCGUUUUAACCAGCAUGCCCGCCAUAUUUGCUGCUGCAGAAUACCGGGGCUGGGGUCUAACCCGUCUCUUCUGGCUGUGGACCACCUCCAGGCAAAUUUUGAGGGUGUCACGGUACUUGCUCAGCAUAACGGAGUGCCACGGAACGAGGCUUUAGCACCCCAAGAAUGAGCACCAGCCCAUUUGGACGUGCGCCCCGGAUGCGAAUGCCGGUUGCCGAGGGAAAACUGGAGAGUGCAUAGAGCCGACCAAGAUUCCGGCCGCGACAUCACCUGACCGCCAUUUUAGUAUGUGGAUGAUCUACGCGAAAACGGCCAAAGCGGCGAUGUCCAAUUGACUCUAGAGCACAAAAUGCACAGCCACUUCAUAUUCCCAUAGUCACAGUCAUUUUUAUUGAUCAGAAAAACUAUUGAGAAGUAGGUAAAAUAUGAUAGCACACUGAACAAUCACAUACUUUGGUGGCUUGGCCACUAUUGCGUUGCGCUGCGAAGCACUAGGCCGCUAGAGUAAAAUCCUGGUUGUGGUGACAGCAUUUAGCCCCAGGUGCCCAAACUUAACCCGGAGUCAUUGGCGUACCAACUAGUUCGCGAGCGGAGAGGGGGGGGGCAAGCCUCCCUCACAUCAUUGGCCACAUUGAUAUACAAACAUACAUAAAUG
RNA transcript from Rhipicephalus sanguineus (brown dog tick), 1337 nucleotides. RefSeq lists it as uncharacterized. Lineage: Eukaryota; Metazoa; Arthropoda; Arachnida; Ixodida; Ixodidae. The record is from RefSeq and is a predicted model, not a curated record. The transcript is spliced from 5 exons.